AUUGAACGCUGGCGGCAGGCCUAACACAUGCAAGUCGGGCGGUAACAGGGAGAAGCUUGCUUCUCUGCUGACGAGCGGCGGACGGGUGAGUAAUGUAUGAGGAUCUGCCUAAUGGAGGGGGAUAACUACUGGAAACGGUAGCUAAUACCGCAUAAUGUCUUAGGACCAAAGCGGGGGACCUUCGGGCCUCGCACCAUCAGAUGAACCCAUAUGGGAUUAGCUUGUAGGUAAGGUAACGGCUUACCUAGGCGACGAUCCCUAGCUGGUCUGAGAGGAUGAUCAGCCACACUGGGACUGAGACACGGCCCAGACUCCUACGGGAGGCAGCAGUGGGGAAUAUUGCACAAUGGGCGCAAGCCUGAUGCAGCCAUGCCGCGUGUAUGAAGAAGGCCUUCGGGUUGUAAAGUACUUUCAGUCGGGAGGAAGGUGGUGAGUUUAAUACACUCAUCAAUUGACGUUACCGACAGAAGAAGCACCGGCUAACUCCGUGCCAGCAGCCGCGGUAAUACGGGGGAUGCAAGUGUUAUCCGGAAUCACUGGGCGUAAAGCGUCUGUAGGUGGUUUAGUAAGUCUGCUGUUAAAUAUUGGGGCUCAACCCUGAACAAGCAGUGGAAACUAUUAGACUAGAGUAUGGUAUGGGUAUAGGGAAUUCCCCUGU
Molecule: ribosomal RNA, 658 nt
Filed under: uncultured Enterobacteriaceae bacterium
Lineage: Bacteria; Pseudomonadati; Pseudomonadota; Gammaproteobacteria; Enterobacterales; Enterobacteriaceae
Description: bacterial SSU rRNA
Rfam family: Bacterial small subunit ribosomal RNA
Source: RNAcentral